Molecule: small nuclear RNA, 106 nt
Organism: Cynocephalus volans (Philippine flying lemur)
Lineage: Eukaryota; Metazoa; Chordata; Mammalia; Dermoptera; Cynocephalidae
Source: RefSeq, a predicted model, not a curated record
GUUCCAUUCAGUGGCACAUACACUAAAAUUGGAAUGAUACAGAGAAAAUUAGCAUGACCCCUGGGUAAAAGAUAGCAUGUGACCUUGUCAAGUGUUCUAUACUUUU